RNAcentral lists this ribosomal RNA (441 nucleotides) under Priestia megaterium. RNAcentral's name for it is "bacterial SSU rRNA". It matches the Rfam family "Bacterial small subunit ribosomal RNA", at positions 361 to 796 of the family's 1533-position model. The record is from RNAcentral. Lineage: Bacteria; Bacillati; Bacillota; Bacilli; Caryophanales; Bacillaceae.
AUCUUCCGCAUGGACGAAGUCUGACGGAGCAACGCCGCGUGAGUGAUGAAGGCUUUCGGGUCGUAAAACUCUGUUGUUAGGGAAGAACAAGUACGAGAGUAACUGCUCGUACCUUGACGGUACCUAACCAGAAAGCCACGGCUAACUACGUGCCAGCAGCCGCGGUAAUACGUAGGUGGCAAGCGUUAUCCGGAAUUAUUGGGCGUAAAGCGCGCGCAGGCGGUUUCUUAAGUCUGAUGUGAAAGCCCACGGCUCAACCGUGGAGGGUCAUUGGAAACUGGGGAACUUGAGUGCAGAAGAGAAAAGCGGAAUUCCACGUGUAGCGGUGAAAUGCGUAGAGAUGUGGAGGAACACCAGUGGCGAAGGCGGCUUUUUGGUCUGUAACUGACGCUGAGGCGCGAAAGCGUGGGGAGCAAACAGGAUUAGAUACCCUGGUAGUCC